RNAcentral lists this ribosomal RNA (576 nucleotides) under Vanrija albida. Its description in RNAcentral is "partial large subunit ribosomal RNA". It matches the Rfam family "Eukaryotic large subunit ribosomal RNA", at positions 62 to 629 of the family's 3401-position model. Lineage: Eukaryota; Fungi; Basidiomycota; Tremellomycetes; Trichosporonales; Trichosporonaceae. The record is from RNAcentral.
AAACUAACAAGGAUUCCCCUAGUAGCGGCGAGUGAAGCGGGAAGAGCUCAAAUUUGUAAUCUGGCGUCUUUCAGGCGUCCGAGUUGUAAUCUAUAGAAGUGUUUUCCGUGCUGGACCAUGUCCAAGUCCCUUGGAACAGGGUAUCAAAGAGGGUGACAAUCCCGUACUUGAUAUGGCCACCAGUGCUCUGUGAUACACUUUCUACGAGUCGAGUUGUUUGGGAAUGCAGCUCAAAAUGGGUGGUAAAUUCCAUCUAAAGCUAAAUAUUGGCGAGAGACCGAUAGCGAACAAGUACCGUGAGGGAAAGAUGAAAAGCACUUUGGAAAGAGAGUUAAACAGUACGUGAAAUUGUUGAAAGGGAAACGAUUGAAGUCAGUCGUGUUCAUUGGACUCAGCCGGUUCUUCCGGUCUAUUUCCUUUGAACGGGUCAACAUCAGUUUUGUCCGGUGGAUAAAGGCAGAGAGAAAGUGGCUCCCUCGGGAGUGUUAUAGCUUUUUGUCACAUACACUGGAGGAGACUGAGGACUGCAGCUCGCCUUUUGGCCGGGGUUCGCCCACGUCGAGCUUAGGAUGUGAC